Long non-coding RNA from Galleria mellonella (greater wax moth), 4252 nucleotides. RefSeq lists it as uncharacterized. NCBI's taxonomy places the organism in Eukaryota, Metazoa, Arthropoda, Insecta, Lepidoptera, Pyralidae. The transcript has 4 exons. The record is from RefSeq and is a predicted model, not a curated record.
UAAAUAAAAUGUGUAUCUACCUACUACUUAUUCACAAAUAACAUGAACUACGUCAACUACAUGAAGUUGCUUCAUAUACAAAACAACUAGCUUCAUAUCUAUCGUUACUUUUACUUUGUUCCUGUCUAUAGUAGCAAUACGAAGCUCCGCAAAAUAAUACCUAAUUAAGUAAAAUAUAGUGGAAAAGUAAAGAAAAUUACUUUAAAAGUAAAAUAAUUUAUUUAAUGCGUGAAUUUGAAUAAGUUUGAUUAUCAUACAAUAUUCAUUUUAUAAAUUAUGAAGACUUUUAGAGAGUUGAAAUGGAGCUAUAUAAAAUUAUCUACCUACCAUACAUUUAUCGAAAUAUUAAAAUUAGCAAAUUCAGUGCAAAACGCCGAUUUUGUAAGCUAAUUAAAUGAAUACUAAUAGUUCGUUUCAACUUUAUAAAAAGUGUCGACACCGUGAGACCAGUGAAUAGAGUGGAUAUAGACAAGAAUGGUGAUAAUGUGAACUGCGAAGGCUGCCAGAAGAAGACGCCGUUCAUUUCAUUCAUGCCAUGAUCACAACGUGGUGCAACCCACAUUGUAAUGUCGGCAAUAAAAAUCAGAUCUACAUCGACGGUGGUUCUGAGUGUAUGCAAAUCCAACCUGCCCGCAUCAGUAUCUCAUUUAAAGAAAAGAGAGAAUCCGAAUAAUAUUAAAUUGAGGGUGUGUAUGAUGAGGGAAUGUAAUCAGGACCGCCGCUGGCAAGUUAUACAUCCUCUAUCUCAAAAGUGUUGGAUCAUUUUACUGGAACGGUAACGCUGCCUGUGCUGAUCGUAUAUGCUGGACGAACACUAGUAAUGGAUGAAUGGUAAGGAUUUCGCCAAAGAUUAAUACAGGUGAUCGUACAUAAACGGAAGAAGUCAAAAAUUAAGACGCAGAAGUAAAUGAAGAAGGAGAAGCAAAAUGAUGACGAAUAAUGAAAAAGCUCAGUAAAUCCUUAAAGUAGUUUAGUAGGCCGGAUAGGGCUGUCCAAAUUAGAUGGGAUUUAGUUUGGCAGCGCUGUUAUAAUGAAUGUUAUGUUGAACAGAUAAAGCCAAUAAAAGUAACUAAAUUAAUUUUGGGGGGCCACAAUGUAUUUGUAAGAACAAAAUGCAGCUAUAAUAUCAUUAUUUUGUUAUUGUAUUACUUUUUAUUAAUUUAUUUUUUACAAAUAGACGACAAAGUUUAUCAUUAAUAUUGGUAGUAGCUAGAAAAUAUUUGGCGGGCCGUAUCAACUGAAGCCGCGAGUCACAUGUGGUUUGGACAGCUCUGGGUUAUAACAUGAAGUCUGCCUUUUGUAUUAAGUACGUCUUAUUGUUAUUUUUAGUCUUGCUAAUAUUAUAAAUAUGAUAGUUUAUUUGUUAUCUCUUGGUGUCUUAGUGACUGAACUAAUCGUCAUAUAUUUGGUACACACUUUUUUUUUAUAAUAGGGUAAUAAUGAAUGAUAACCCUACUAGCGCUAUCGAUGUAUACUUGCGGUGUAUCAACGGCGAUGAUAAAUGAAAAUAAAGCCAGUUAAUGUAUCAUGGUGAAUUUACUGGGAUUUAAUCACGUUGGAUCCCAGAAGAGUGUGAGACCGUGUAGGGGUCGAACGGACAGGAAGUAGUUAACAAUGACAACCAACUUCCCCCAUUAUUAGAAAUCUCUACGCUCUACGUAGUAUUUGAAAUGAAAAAGAACAACGAAUACUUUUUAUUCCAGUAAAAGUUGCCGGGAUUAAGAUUCUGUACCAUUUUUCAUUUUUUUUUAUGUUAUCUAUACCAUUUACUUGCAAAUAUCUUUUUAUAAUAUAUUAAUUCUAUUUAGUAGGCGCUUACUCAUUUCGUGUAUGCAUGUCGUUAUGAGGUACGUAGGUACCCUACCUAUACCUAUAUCUAAUGUUUCUUUAAUUUUUCUCAAAACAUAUUUAUUACGUGGAAGUUUUAAAAAUAACUUUGAAUUUUUAUAUAAUAGCAUCUCGGCCGUGUCCCGGCGUUGAUUCCGGCAUAGAAUAGGCCACCCCUUUUUUCUUACGGAUGUCGUAAAAGACGACUAACACAAACAAAACAAAAACAUAUCUAAAGCAUGAUUGCCGUAUGUGUAUAUGUGUGUGUGUGUGCGCAUUUGUAUUCAGCUAUUAUUAAAUAUAAUUAUUUUAGUGUUAAUGUCAUAAGCCAAUUUUUUACAGUCGUUUUAACUUUUUUGGUAGAGAGUGCAUUUAUAUUUGUAUGAAAUUUACAAAUUUUAUUAUUUAUUAUUUAGCUGUAAAUAUGCGGCUUGAUGUUUAGGAAGAGCAGUGUUUAUAACUGGUAUAGGAAAACGGAAUAAGCGGCGCCUUACGAGACGACUGAAAUCAGGAGAGUUACUAAUUUCUUUAUGCAUGCUGUUGCUUUUAAAAUGUAGAUCUGACGAACCCUCUUUGGAAACAACUUCCAGCAACAGUAUUUCCGGAUAUGGGCGGCGUUAGUCACUUACCAUCAGGUGAGCCGCAUGCUCGUUACUAGCUAACCCUGAGCACCUUGCUUUGCAUAUAUAGUUUGUCAGUGGAAAAACUUAAGAAGAGAACAUCGUCUUCGACAGUCGUCUAUUAGAGCGUCCUGGUUGUUACUUUAUUAACUGAAAUCAUUCAUAAUUUUAAUUAUUAAAAUGACUACAUUUAAAUCUUAAAAUGCGUUUAAUAGAAAAUUGAUACGUACUUAGGCUUUUUGAUUUAAGGUCUUCAUAAUCUGAGUCCAUAUCCAUUAUUCCUAUGGUGUUCCCGAUGAUGAAGAUUCCUGAGAAAAUAUAUAAUAUAAAUAUAAAAAAAACAGAAAACAUUAUGAUAUGAACAAAAAUGUACAUCGGAACGUCGGACGGCGGAAGCGCAUCAGAAAAGCUAAGUAGAGAAAAUAUUGUCUCGAGUGUCGUCUUAUAGAGGGCUCUCGUCCUUUAUCAAAUGCACUACGUCGCCCAAUGUUUCCCUCUUAAAAUCGCUUGUAUAAAUAAAUAAAUUAUAAUUAACAUAAAUUAUUUAUAAUUUUAAUUAUUAAAAUGACUCCACUAAAAACUUCAAAUACGUAUUUAAUAAAAAGUCGAUACGUUCUUAGGCUUUUUGAUCGUAGAUCUUCGUCGUUCGAUCUUAUGUCCAUAAUGCCCAUGUCAGAGUCCAUCAGAAGCGUCACAGCAUUCUCAGUCGACUUACCCUGACGAAAUCCGAACUGGUUAUCAUUCAAAAUUUUAUUUUCCUCUAGAAACUUAACUAACCGUCUGUAUAUGAUACGCUCUAGAAGUUUAGAAAAUGCUGGCAAGAGUAAUAUUGGACGAUAAUUGCUGGGAUCAUCUUUAGUACUACCUUUAUGCACAGGAACUACCACCGCUGUUUUCAUAUCUGAGGGAAAGAUCCUGACAAAAUGCUUCGAUUAAAUAUUGACGCUAGCGGGCUCGCAAUGAGAUGGCCAAUAUUUUUUAAUAUAUUAUUGUUGAGGCCAUCAAAACCAGAAGCAUUACCAAAAUCCAGAGUGCUUAUAUCAUUUAAGAUUUCUUGAGCGUCAGUGGGAUAUAUGAAAAACGAAUUUUUUGGAGCACAAGUGUACUUUAUUUUUUUGAUUAGCGAUUCUUGCGUUUCACUUAACUUACAUAUAUUUACAAUAAAAUAUAUUUACAAUGUAAACAAUAUAGGUAACGUAGAACAAAAACGAGUAUUUGAAUAAAAUUGUUAGGUCGAUACAUUGUCGAUACUGGACAUUCUCUCCGGUUCCCUUUCCUUUCCCCUUACUAAAGAGUAAGGGGAACAUAAAUUAUUUAUAAUUUUAGUUAUUAAAAUGACACCAUAAAAACUUCAAAUAUAUAUUUUAAAAAAGUUGAUACGUACUUAGGCUUUUUUGAUCGUAGAUCUUCGUCGUCCGAUCUUUUGUCCAUAACUCCCAUGUCAGAGUCCUGAGAAAUAAAAAAAAAAAACAAUAUAAAUAACAAAAAAAAAAAAACAAAAAAUAUUAUAAAAAUAUAUUUACAAUGUAAACAAUAUAGGUAAUGUAGAAUAAAACGAGUAUUUGAAUAAAAGUGUUAGGUCGAUACAUUGUCGAUACUGGACAUUCUCUCCGGUACCCUUUCCUUUCCCCUUACAUUUUCCUUUAUUCUUCGGCUGAAGAUUCGCUUAUGAAGAAUUUAUAUUAGUUAAUUUUUAGCUAUAUCGAGCAUGGUAGGUGUAGUUAAUUAAUUUAUAUAAAAACAAUAUUGACUUACAUUAAAAGUUUCCCCGAUUUUGUGUUUAAUGCAAACACCACGGUCCUUGA